CUGGGACUAGCAUAUCAAUAAGCGGAGGAAAAGAAACCAACAGGGAUUGCCCUAGUAACGGCGAGUGAAGCGGCAACAGCUCAAAUUUGAAAUCUGGCCUCGGCCCGAGUUGUAAUUUGCAGAGGAUGCUUCUGGCGCGGUGCCUUCCGAGUUCCCUGGAACGGGACGCCACAGAGGGUGAGAGCCCCGUAUGGUCGGACACCAAGCCUGUGUGAAGCUCCUUCGACGAGUCGAGUAGUUUGGGAAUGCUGCUCUAAAUGGGAGGUAAAUCUCUUCUAAAGCUAAAUACCGGCCAGAGACCGAUAGCGCACAAGUAGAGUGAUCGAAAGAUGAAAAGCACCUUGAAAAGGGGGUUAAAUAGUACGUGAAAUUGUUGAAAGGGAAGCACUUAUGACCAGACUUGGGCCGGGCGGCUCAUCAGGGGUUCUCCCCUGUGCACUCCGCCCGGCACAGGCCAGCAUCGGUUCUCGUGGGGGGAUAAGACCGUCAGGAACGUAGCACCCUCCGGGGUGUGUUAUAGCCUGGCGGACGAUACCCCCGUGGGGACCGAGGUCCGCGCAUUGCAAGGAUGCUGGCGUAAUGGUCAUCAGUGACCCGUCUUGAAACACGGACCAAGGAGUCGUCCAUUAGAGCGAGCGUUUGGGUGUAAAACCCGCACGCGUAAUGAAAGUGAACGCAGGUGAGAGCUUCGGCGCAUCAUCGACCGAUCCUGAUGUUCUCGGAAGGAUUUGAGUAAGAGUUUUAACGGACGGACCCGAAAGACAGUGAACUAUGCUUGAAUAGGGUGAAGCCAGAGGAAACUCUGGUGGAGGCUCGCAGCGGUUCUGACGUGCAAAUCGAUCGUCAAAUUUGAGCAUGGGGGCGAAAGACUAAUCGAACUGUCUAGUAGCUGGUUACCGCCGAGC
This 905-nucleotide ribosomal RNA is filed under the name Diaporthe ravennica. RNAcentral's name for it is "partial 28S ribosomal RNA". It matches the Rfam family "Eukaryotic large subunit ribosomal RNA", at positions 28 to 966 of the family's 3401-position model. Lineage: Eukaryota; Fungi; Ascomycota; Sordariomycetes; Diaporthales; Diaporthaceae. The record is from RNAcentral.